CGAAAUGCGAUAAGUAAUGCGAAUUGCAGAAUUUCCGUGAGUCAUCGAAUCUUUGAACGCACAUUGCG
RNAcentral lists this ribosomal RNA (68 nucleotides) under uncultured Ascomycota. RNAcentral's name for it is "partial 5.8S ribosomal RNA". It matches the Rfam family "5.8S ribosomal RNA", at positions 49 to 115 of the family's 154-position model. From Rfam's summary of the family: 5.8S ribosomal RNA (5.8S rRNA) is a component of the large subunit of the eukaryotic ribosome. The record is from RNAcentral. Lineage: Eukaryota; Fungi; Ascomycota.